This 329-nucleotide ribosomal RNA is filed under the name uncultured eukaryote. Its description in RNAcentral is "partial 18S ribosomal RNA". It matches the Rfam family "Eukaryotic small subunit ribosomal RNA", at positions 1470 to 1796 of the family's 1831-position model. The record is from RNAcentral.
CCCUUAGAUGUUCUGGGCCGCACGCGCGCUACACUGAUGCGUUCAACGAGUCUAAAACCUGCUCUGAUAGGGGUGGGUAAUCUUUUGAAUGUGCAUCGUGAUUGGGAUAGAUGAUUGAAAUUUUUCAUCUUCAACGAGGAAUGCCUAGUAAACGCAAGUCAUCAGCUUGCAUUGAUUACGUCCCUGCCCUUUGUACACACCGCCCGUCGUUCCUACCGAUUGAAUGAUCCGAUGAAUAUCAUGGAUUGAGGAUGCAAGUAGGUUCACCUAUCUUCAUCUUCGAGAAGUGAAGUAAAUCUUAUCAUUUAGAGGAAGGAGAAGUCGUAACA